RNAcentral lists this ribosomal RNA (840 nucleotides) under Aschersonia sp. JZQ-2014a. RNAcentral describes it as "eukaryotic LSU rRNA". It matches the Rfam family "Eukaryotic large subunit ribosomal RNA", at positions 76 to 938 of the family's 3401-position model. The record is from RNAcentral. Lineage: Eukaryota; Fungi; Ascomycota; Sordariomycetes; Hypocreales; Clavicipitaceae.
UGCCCCAGUAACGGCGAGUGAAGCGGCAACAGCUCAAAUUUGAAAUCUGGCCCCCCCCGGGGGGCCCGAGUUGUAAUUUGCAGAGGAUGCUUUGGGCGAGGCGCCUUCCGAGUUCCCUGGAACGGGACGCCACAGAGGGUGAGAGCCCCGUCUGGUCGGACGCCGAGCCUCUGUAAAGCUCCUUCGACGAGUCGAGUAGUUUGGGAAUGCUGCUCAAAAUGGGAGGUAUAUGUCUUCUAAAGCUAAAUACCGGCCAGAGACCGAUAGCGCACAAGUAGAGUGAUCGAAAGAUGAAAAGCACCUUGAAAAGGGGGUUAAACAGUACGUGAAAUUGUUGAAAGGGAAGCGCUCGUGACCAGCCUUGGGGCGGGCGGAUCAGCCGGCGUUCUCGCCGGCGCACUCCGCCCGUCCCAGGCCAGCAUCAGUUCGCGCCGGGGGACAAAGGCGGCGGGAACGUGGCUCCCCAGGGAGUGUUAUAGCCCGCCGCGCCAUGCCCCGGGGGCGGACUGAGGGCCGCGCAUCACUGCAAGGAUGCUGGCGUAAUGGUCACCAGCGACCCGUCUUGAAACACGGGCCAAGGAGUCGUCCUCGUAUGCGAGUGUUCGGGUGUCAAACCCCUACGCGGAAUGAAAGUGAACGUGGGUGAGAGCUUCGGCGCAUCAUCGACCGAUCCUGAUGUUCUCGGAUGGAUUUGAGUAGGAGCAUACGGGGCCGGACCCGAAAGAAGGUGAACUAUGCCUGUGUAGGGUGAAGCCAGAGGAAACUCUGGUGGAGGCUCGCAGCGGUUCUGACGUGCAAAUCGAUCGUCAAACAUGGGCAUGGGGGCGAAAGACUAAUCGA